AUUGACAUUCAACUUCCAUAUACAUAUUUUAUUUAUUUUUGGCAGACAACGUGCGUUUAAAUGUUACGUUCUAUGCUCGCAUCUAUGUGUAUUGCGCAUUUAGCGUUGUCCCAAGUGUUGCGUAUUUUGAGUUUGUAUUUGCUCACGUCUUUAAUGACAGUUUAAUAUACAUAAUUAUGAAAUCAGCUGGAAACAACACAUUGCGGUUUCAUCGUGAAAUACGUCAUGCACUUUAUGCAGAAUUAAAUUACAUUUCUAGUGCCCUUGUGCAAAGGAUUUGAUUAUUGCUCGUUCGUGGGGCAACAGGCGACGUGUUGAGGUGGACGUGAUACAUGGCUGCACAAAACGGCUGAAGUGCCUGUCCUCCUCGUCACAUCUCUGACAACAACAAGUGAUAAAUAAACGCUGUCCAACUUGCAAUUGUAAAUAACAUGUGUAUGAAUGAGUGUACAGACGCAUUACGGCAAAACGGAAAACGCCCAGGGCGAUAGCCAUAAAGUGUUGCAUAUGACGAAAAAGGCUCCACCGUAGGAAAAGCAACAACAACAACGACAAUAGCAGCAGCAAUAGACAGUGUUGCCAAGUGUCGCAAACUGUAACAAUAAGUCGAAUAAAAAACGUAACGUCCUUGGUAACGGCAAACGUCAAAACUGGAACAGGCAUAAAAAGAACAAUAGGAAGAGACAAAAAGGACGGCAAAGACGCGCACGGCGCAUACAGCGUGAAAAAGCAAGGUGUGCUAAAAAAUAUGGCAGCAGCAGCACCAACAUCGCCCACAACAGCAGCAGUAG
This 791-nucleotide small RNA is filed under the name Drosophila mojavensis. RNAcentral's name for it is "GI25577". The record is from RNAcentral. Lineage: Eukaryota; Metazoa; Arthropoda; Insecta; Diptera; Drosophilidae.